This 611-nucleotide long non-coding RNA is filed under the name Cricetulus griseus (Chinese hamster). RNAcentral describes it as "lncRNA (ENSCGRG00015041486.1)". Lineage: Eukaryota; Metazoa; Chordata; Mammalia; Rodentia; Cricetidae. The record is from RNAcentral.
GAGAGAGAGAGCCACACAGGUCUAUACACAGUCCUCUCUUUAAAUAAAGGCUGGGCCCAGCCUCAAAGGCUUGCUUACCCCACUGAGAAAUCCCACUCCCCCUCUCGAAGCCCCCAAGUCUACCCUGCUCUGCCAGGAGCAGCCCUGAUCCGAGUUCUCACCCAGGACUGACAGCUAAGAUGCUGUUGGAGGUUGAGGACAGGAUGAAAGGAGGCAGCAGGAGCAGGUGGCAGGGGCUCUACCGACUUCCUGAAUGGAAGUUUCAUGCUUCCAACUUCCGCUAGGGGCAGUGCUGCCCGACCACUCAGAGAAGUGCGCUUUCAACAGGUGCAGAGCAGCAGUGGGGCUUAGAAGGGACUAGUAUCUGGAAGGUCAGUGUCAAGACACCCUGAUGAAGAAAGGACCAGCUGAAGUUUGCACAGAAGAAUCUUGGGUCUGGGGAUGAUGGCUGAGUUCUCUGGAGCCUCAGGAGUCUUGGAUGAGAGUGCAGGGAGGGGUUUUCCUGGUGACCAGAAAUGCCACAGCUAUUCAGUGUUCUCCAGGCCCACCAGACAUCCCUGUUGGUCUUAUGAUUGCCUGCCAGAGUCAACCAGCCACCGGGGAGACCAUAG